CCGCGUGAGUGAUGAAGGUUUUCGGAUCGUAAAGCUCUGUUGUUAGGGAAGAACAAGUGCCGUUCAAAUAGGGCGGCACCUUGACGGUACCUAACCAGAAAGCCACGGCUAACUACGUGCCAGCAGCCGCGGUAAUACGUAGGUGGCAAGCGUUGUCCGGAAUUAUUGGGCGUAAAGGGCUCGCAGGCGGUUUCUUAAGUCUGAUGUGAAAGCCCCCGGCUCAACCGGGGAGGGUCAUUGGAAACUGGGGAACUUGAGUGCAGAAGAGGAGAGUGGAAUUCCACGUGUAGCGGUGAAAUGCGUAGAGAUGUGGAGGAACACCAGUGGCGAAGGCGACUCUCUGGUCUGUAACUGACGCUGAGGAGCGAAAGCGUGGGGAGCGAACAGGAUUAGAUACCCUGGUAGUCCACGCCGUAAACGAUGAGUGCUAAGUGUUAGGGGGUUUCCGCCCCUUAGUGCUGCAGCUAACGCAUUAAGCACUCCGCCUGGGGAGUACGGUCGCAAGACUGAAACUCAAAGGAAUUGACGGGGGCCCGCACAAGCGGUGGAGCAUGUGGUUUAAUUCGAAGCAACGCGAAGAACCUUACCAGGUCUUGACAUCCUCUGACAAUCCUAGAGAUAG
This 622-nucleotide ribosomal RNA is filed under the name Bacillus velezensis. RNAcentral's name for it is "bacterial SSU rRNA". It matches the Rfam family "Bacterial small subunit ribosomal RNA", at positions 397 to 1009 of the family's 1533-position model. RNAcentral also lists the same sequence under 1 other name. Lineage: Bacteria; Bacillati; Bacillota; Bacilli; Caryophanales; Bacillaceae. The record is from RNAcentral.